RNAcentral lists this ribosomal RNA (301 nucleotides) under uncultured bacterium. Its description in RNAcentral is "partial 16S ribosomal RNA". It matches the Rfam family "Bacterial small subunit ribosomal RNA", at positions 509 to 807 of the family's 1533-position model. The record is from RNAcentral.
CAGUAGCCGCGGUAAUACGAAGGUCCCGAGCCUUGUUCGGAAUCACUGGGCGUAAAGGGAGCGUAGGCGGCGUGGUAAGUCAGAUGUGAAAUCCCGGGGCUCAACCCCGGAACUGCAUCCGAUACUGCCAUGCUUGAGGGUUGGAGAGGUAGCUGGAAUUCUCGGUGUAGCAGUGAAAUGCGUGGAUAUCGAGAGGAACACUCGUGGCGAAGGCGAGCUACUGGACAACAUCUGACGCUGAGGCUCGAAGGCUAGGGUAGCGAAAGGGAUUAGAUACCCCAGUAGUCCCUGUCUCUUAUAC